Molecule: unclassified non-coding RNA, 278 nt
Filed under: Hevea brasiliensis (rubber tree)
Lineage: Eukaryota; Viridiplantae; Streptophyta; Magnoliopsida; Malpighiales; Euphorbiaceae
Source: RNAcentral
UGUACUCCACACUCUUGGUCUUUAUAACUUUUCUCAGAAUCCCAAGAGGUGCAACGAAAACGCAUAGAGCAAAUAUCAUACAAAUCCAUCCCAAAACUUUGACACGUUCUUCGCCAUGGGUUAGGAACAUAGCUACCAAAAAUAUGAUGCCGAACCCAAAAACAUUGAACCCGAGGACAAGUUUCGUGGUGAGAAUCCUAUCCCUCUUGGAGGCAUAGAAAAAGUAGAUAGCAAUGUAGGCAGUUUCCAUAAAAAAUGUGAAGGAGUUGAUGGUGAUG